RNAcentral lists this ribosomal RNA (486 nucleotides) under uncultured bacterium. RNAcentral describes it as "partial 16S ribosomal RNA". It matches the Rfam family "Bacterial small subunit ribosomal RNA", at positions 30 to 507 of the family's 1533-position model. The record is from RNAcentral.
AUUGAACGCUGGCGGCAUGCCUUACACAUGCAAGUCGAACGGCAGCACGGGUGCUUGCACCUGGUGGCGAGUGGCGAAAGGGUGAGUAAUACAUCGGCACAUGUCCUGUAGUGGGGGAUAGCCCGUCGAAAGCCGGAUUAAUACCGCAUACGAUCUACGGAUGAAAGCGGGGGACCUUCGGGACUCGCGCUAUAGGGUUGGCCGAUGGCUGAUUAGCUCGUUGGUGGGGUAAAGGCAUACCACGGCGACGAUCAGUAGCUGGUCUGAGAGGACGACCAGCCACACUGGGACUGAGACACGGCCCAGAGUCCUACGGGAGACAGCAGUAGGGAAUUUUGGACAAUGGGCGAAAGCCUGAUCCAGCAAUGCCGCGUGUGUGAAGAAGACCUUCGGGUUGUAAAGCACUUUUGUCCGGAAAGAAAUCCUUGGCCCUAAUACGGUCGGGGGAUGACGGUACCGGAAGGAUAAGCACCGGCUAACUACGUG